CCUACGGGUGGCAGCAGUGAGGAAUAUUGGUCAAUGGACGAGAGUCUGAACCAGCCAAGUAGCGUGAAGGAUGACUGCCCUAUGGGUUGUAAACUUCUUUUAUAUGGGAAUAAAAUGUUCCACGUGUGGGAUUUUGUAUGUACCAUAUGAAUAAGGAUCGGCUAACUCCGUGCCAGCAGCCGCGGUAAUACAGAUGAUCCGACCGUUAUCCGGAUUUAUUGGGUUUAAAGGGAGCGAAGGUGGAUUGUUACGUCAUUUGUGAAAGUUUGCGGCUCAACCGUAAAAUUGAAGUUGAAACUGGCAGUCUUGAGUACAGUAGAGGUGGGCGGAAUUCGUGGUGUAGCGGUGAAAUGCUGAGAUAUCACGAAGAACUCCGAUUGCGAAGGCAGUUCACUGGACUGCAACUGACACUGAGGCUCGAAAGUGUGGGUAGCAAACAGGAUUAGAUACCCCAGUAGUC
RNAcentral lists this ribosomal RNA (460 nucleotides) under uncultured bacterium. RNAcentral describes it as "partial 16S ribosomal RNA". It matches the Rfam family "Bacterial small subunit ribosomal RNA", at positions 338 to 795 of the family's 1533-position model. The record is from RNAcentral.